Molecule: non-coding RNA, 24 nt
Filed under: Cricetulus griseus (Chinese hamster)
Lineage: Eukaryota; Metazoa; Chordata; Mammalia; Rodentia; Cricetidae
Source: RNAcentral
AGCAUUCGUCUUGGGUUUCCUCAU